This 407-nucleotide unclassified non-coding RNA is filed under the name Hevea brasiliensis (rubber tree). The record is from RNAcentral. Lineage: Eukaryota; Viridiplantae; Streptophyta; Magnoliopsida; Malpighiales; Euphorbiaceae.
AAUAGAGAUCAGCACCACAUAAAUUUCACAAGGGAUGGAAUUGAUGGCAGAUAACAGAGAAGAUUCAGUUAGCAAAGCAACGAGACAUACUUGAGAGAAAUUGGAUUCUACCAGUAUAGGGAAAAAAAUUGCAGAUGGUGCUGCUUCUCUUAUAAAUUUUUAUUAAGGAAAUUAGAAAAAUCUCAAUAAUCAAUCUUUAAAACGCGUGAGAAGGAGGAGAAGGGGAUAUAUAUGACGGAAAACGAGUCGUUUAUCUAGCGGACUUUUGGAUAGAGGAGGUGAAGAUGACGUCAGUGUUUUAUCAGUGUUGGACAAUUAUUAUUGUUAGGCUGCUUAUCUAAAAAUCUGUUUAAAUCGGAUCACCACAACCACUUACAAUAUGACCACUUGCUACAAAAUCACCCUAU